RNAcentral lists this long non-coding RNA (1531 nucleotides) under Zonotrichia albicollis (white-throated sparrow). RNAcentral describes it as "lncRNA (ENSZALG00000000216.1)". The record is from RNAcentral. Lineage: Eukaryota; Metazoa; Chordata; Aves; Passeriformes; Passerellidae.
UUUGGUUCUGUCCCCAAAUCCUGAUCUCAGAGUCAAAUUUGGCAACACUUUGUGUGUGAAAAAAAGAAUUAAAUCAAAUUAAUCCCCAACACUAGGGGCAAUUCUGAUUCUGGGGGUGCCAUUCCCACUCUGGGGGUGCAGUUCUGAUUCCAGGGGUGCAGUUCCCAUUCCAGGGGUGCAGUUCCCAUUCUGAGGGUGCAGUUCCCACUCGGGGGUGCCAUUCCCAUUCCUGGGAUGCAGUUCCCACUCUGGGGGUGCAGUUCCCAUUCCGGGGUGCAGUUCCCACUCUGGGGGUGCAGUUCUGAUUCUGUGGGUGCAGUUCCCACUCUGGGGGUGCAGUUCUGAUUCUGGGGGUACAGUUCCCAUUUUGGGGGUGCAGUUCCCAUUCUGGGGGUGCAGUUCCCACUCUGGGGGUACAGUUCCCAUUCUGGGGGUGCAGUUCCCAUUCCGGGGGUGCCAUUCCCAUUCUGAGGGUGCCAUUCUCAUUCUGUGGGCGCAGUUCCCAUUCUGGGGGUGCAGUUCUGAUUCUGGGGGUGCAGUUCCCACUCUGGGGGUACCGUUCCCAUUCUGGAGGUGCAGUUCCAAUUUUGGGGGUGCAGUUACGAUUCUGGGGGUGCCAUUCCCAUUCUGGGGGUGCAGUUCCCACUCUGGGGGUGCAGUCUCCACUCUGGGGGUGCAGUUCCCAUUCUGGGGGCGCAGUUCUGAUUCUGGGGGCGCAGUUCCCAUUCUGUGGGUGCAGUUCCCACUCUGGGGGUGCAGUUCCGAUUCUGUGGGUGCAGUUCCCAUUCCGGGGUGCCAUUCCCACUCUGGGGGUGCAGUUCCCACUCGGGGGUGCAGUUCCCAUUCUGGGGGUGCAGUUCUCAUUCUGGGGGUGCAGUUUCCACUCUGGGGGUGCAGUUUCCACUCUGGGGGUGCAGUUCCCACUCUGUGGGUGCAGUUCCCAUUCCGGGGGUGCAGUUCUGAUUCUGGGGGNAGCCCGCCCUACGUGUGCUAUGUCACCCUGCCCGGGGGCAGCUGCUUCGGCAGCUUCCAGGUACCGUCCCCACCCGGGAAUGCCCCUCCAGGACCCCACCAGGAUCGUUUCCCAAAUAUCUCCUCCCUGUUGUGCAUUCUCCUCCCUGCAUCUGCCUCUAAACCCCGUUAGCUGUAAGGAAAUUCCCGGGGAAUGCCCUCCAGGAUCUCACCAGGAUCGUUUUCCAAAUAUCUUCUCCCUGUGUCUGGAUCUAAACCUCUUUAUUUUUAAGGGAAUUCCUGGGGAAUGCCCUCCAGGACCACAUCAGGAUUGUUUUCCAAAUAUCUCCUCCCUGUUGAGUGUUCUCCUCCCUGAUCUGCCUCUAAACCUCUUGGUUUAAUUGCAAGUUGUUCCUGGUCUGUAAAUCCCCAUCAGGUCCCAAUCUGGGAAGAUUUGGAUUGUGCAACCUCUUUAGUUGCAAAGGAAAUUCCCGGGGAAUGCCCCUCCAGGAUCCCACCAGGAUCGUUUUCCAAAUAUCCAAAUAUCUUCUCCCUGCUGGGUGUUCUUCUCCCUCCAUCU